AGCCGACGCAGUCGAAACAACGUUUAACGGUGAUCAGUAUGAGAUCGAAAUCGGCCGCAGUUGGUUGUACGUAAUGUGCGUCGUGUUGCUUGUUGUCGUAGUCGUAGUCGCCGUUCAGCUUUCAAUUCCAAUUCAGUUAGUCGAUCGCCGUCGUCGCCGCCAGAGUAGCAGCAGCAGCAGUAACGACAAUAUGCACUUCUAAAUAUCAACAACAAAAAUAAAGGUCUUUUUACAUAUUUUCGUUGCGUUUCAUCUCGUUUUUCGGUUUCGCGUGUUCUGUGUGUGUGUGCUCCAGUGCGUUGUUGCUAAGAGUGUUUUUUUCCUGCCCAAAAUGAUUCAAAAUCAAACAAAUGCAACACGUAAAUAAGAAAGAAGUGAGAUAAAAAAGUCCUCUCGCAACGUGCUUGCUGUGUAUGCGCGCGCGUGUUCUGUGUUUAUAUAUGCAUACAUAUAUAUGUAAAUAUGUCUGUGUGUUUGUAAAGCGCAGCUGAUUUUUAAAUACGAAAUUUUUAAUAACGCUCAACUCGUCGUCUCCCUGUCAUCUCCCCCACAUCUGCCCCGCCCCCAGCAAAGCAACUUGCCUGCAAUUCUACAACGUACGAGAUUUGCCGUCAAUUCGCUUCGCCGCUUUUUUUGGCACGCAAAUUAUGAAAUGAAUACAACAAAAAUUAUUGAAUAAUCCGGUGAAAUAUGUUGAAUGCGUAAAACGUGUUUUUGAAACAGUUUUACAUUUACUAAAUAUAUAA
Molecule: long non-coding RNA, 746 nt
Organism: Drosophila arizonae
Lineage: Eukaryota; Metazoa; Arthropoda; Insecta; Diptera; Drosophilidae
Gene: E23
Source: RefSeq, a predicted model, not a curated record